CAGGAAACUCAGGAUCAUGCAGGAAAAGGUUGAUGGGAGGGGACAAGAAAAGGCCAAGAACAGCAGGACACAAACGGCUUUGUCCUUCAUGCUGCCAAGACCUUCUCAUCCUCCUGGGCUGGUGACGUCAAAUCAAGUACUCUACGACUGAGGAACAUCCCUAGUGCCCAUCCCUACCUAGUGCCCUCUCCUAGCCUCCACCAUACCUGGGCUGUCCAGAGCCUCUGCAUGACCUUUAGAGCCAGCUCCAGCUCGAUGGCCACCAGUGAGCAGUGAAGAAUACAGUCUCCAGGGACGACUUUCCAGUAGCCUGGACAGAAAGGCACUUGACCUGAUGGAUGAGCAUCCUGUGGGGAAUGGAAGCUACCCGGCAGGCAACAGCCACUUUCUUAUCAUGGACAGGGCUCUGCCGGGCCAAUCACCCAGUCAAGAUGAACCAGACCACACCUGAUGGAGAUCACCUGUUUGGCAGCUACGAAAAGUCUCCAGCUGUGCAAACCUCCAACCCUUGCCCUCCUUUCCUCCCUAUAAGUCUUCAAAGUCAUCAUCAGCUCCUUGAGGUUGGGCUGAGCACAACAUAAGGAUGUGGGUCCCCUUUUCUUUCUGUUGUAGCCACAUUGAUUAAAGUUCUCUUCAUAUUUUCACCAUUA
Marmota monax (woodchuck) is the source of this 650-nucleotide long non-coding RNA. RefSeq lists it as uncharacterized. The record is from RefSeq and is a predicted model, not a curated record. NCBI's taxonomy places the organism in Eukaryota, Metazoa, Chordata, Mammalia, Rodentia, Sciuridae. The transcript is spliced from 3 exons.